UUAUUUAUUUGCACUGCUUUGAACCUGAGGCUUCCCCAAAUGGACCUCAUGUCAAGACCAGUGCUAAAGUAAUAA
This is a non-coding RNA of Cordylochernes scorpioides, 75 nucleotides long. Lineage: Eukaryota; Metazoa; Arthropoda; Arachnida; Pseudoscorpiones; Chernetidae. The record is from the annotation of a GenBank genome assembly.